GAAAUGUUGGGUUAAGUCCCGCAACGAGCGCAACCCUUAUCCUUGUUUGCCAGCGAGUAAUGUCGGGAACUCCAGGGAGACUGCCGGUGAUAAACCGGAGGAAGGUGGGGACGACGUCAAGUCAUCAUGGCCCUUACGAGUAGGGCUACACACGUGCUACAAUGGCGCAUACAGAGGGCAGCCAACUUGCGAAAGUGAGCGAAUCCCAAAAAGUGCGUCGUAGUCCGGAUUGGAGUCUGCAACUCGACUCCAUGAAGUCGGAAUCGCUAGUAAUCGUGGAUCAGAAUGCCACGGUGAAUACGUUCCCGGGCCUUGUACACACCGCCCGUCACACCAUGGGAGUGGGCUGCAAAAGAAG
RNAcentral lists this ribosomal RNA (358 nucleotides) under Vibrio parahaemolyticus. RNAcentral's name for it is "bacterial SSU rRNA". It matches the Rfam family "Bacterial small subunit ribosomal RNA", at positions 1069 to 1426 of the family's 1533-position model. The record is from RNAcentral. Lineage: Bacteria; Pseudomonadati; Pseudomonadota; Gammaproteobacteria; Vibrionales; Vibrionaceae.